This 492-nucleotide ribosomal RNA is filed under the name uncultured bacterium. Its description in RNAcentral is "partial 16S ribosomal RNA". It matches the Rfam family "Bacterial small subunit ribosomal RNA", at positions 29 to 507 of the family's 1533-position model. The record is from RNAcentral.
AGUGAACGCUGGCGGUAGGCCUAACACAUGCAAGUCGAACGGCAGCACAGUAAGAGCUUGCUCUUACGGGUGGCGAGUGGCGGACGGGUGAGGAAUACAUCGGAAUCUACUUUUUCGUGGGGGAUAACGUAGGGAAACUUACGCUAAUACCGCAUACGACCUACGGGUGAAAGCAGGGGAUCUUCGGACCUUGCGCGAUUGAAUGAGCCGAUGUCGGAUUAGCUAGUGGGCGGGGUAAAGGCCCACCAAGGCGACGAUCCGUAGCUGGUCUGAGAGGCUGGUCAGCCACACUGGAACGGAGACACGGUCCAGACUCCUACGGGAGGGAGCAGUGGGGAAUAUGGGACAAUGGGCGCAAGCCUGAUCCAGCCAUACCGCGUGGGUGAAGAAGGCCUUCGGGUUGCAAAGCCCUUUUGUUGGGAAAGAAAAGCAGCAGGUUAAUACCCCGCUGUUCUGACGGUACCCAAAGAAUAAGCACCGGCUAACUUCGUG